RNAcentral lists this ribosomal RNA (132 nucleotides) under Mus spretus (western wild mouse). Its description in RNAcentral is "predicted gene, 55958 (ENSMSPG00010049579.1)". The record is from RNAcentral. Lineage: Eukaryota; Metazoa; Chordata; Mammalia; Rodentia; Muridae.
GUCUAUGGCCAUACCACCCUGAACACACCCAAUCUCAUCUGAUCUUGGAAGAUAAACCAUUUGGCAAAACAACAGCAAACACUAGUAAGUUUUGCUACUACCACGGGCCCACGACUUCCCCAGCUCUAGGCU